CCCAAUUCAGACUAAUUUCAGAUCAUUUUUAAUGUUAUAAUAAAAUUGUUUUCUAUUGUUUCAAGACCAAAAUCAGACUUUUUUUCUGUCAAAAUCAUUU
Molecule: long non-coding RNA, 100 nt
Organism: Cotesia glomerata
Lineage: Eukaryota; Metazoa; Arthropoda; Insecta; Hymenoptera; Braconidae
Exons: 3
Source: RefSeq, a predicted model, not a curated record